This 424-nucleotide ribosomal RNA is filed under the name uncultured prokaryote. Its description in RNAcentral is "bacterial SSU rRNA". It matches the Rfam family "Bacterial small subunit ribosomal RNA", at positions 355 to 776 of the family's 1533-position model. RNAcentral also lists the same sequence under 1 other name. The record is from RNAcentral.
UAAGGAAUAUUGGGCAAUGGGCGCAAGCCUGACCCAGCCAUGCCGCGUGAAGGAUGACGGCCCUAUGGGUUGUAAACUUCUUUUGUACGGGAAAAAACCACCGGUCGUGACCGGUGCUGAUGGUACCGUAAGAAUAAGCAUCGGCUAACUCCGUGCCAGCAGCCGCGGUAAUACGGAGGAUGCAAGCGUUAUCCGGAUUCAUUGGGUUUAAAGGGUGCGCAGGCGGAAUAAUAAGUCAGUGGUGAAAUCCUACGGCUCAACUGUAGAACUGCCAUUGAUACUGUUAUUCUUGAGUACACUUGAAGUGGGCGGAAUGUGUCAUGUAGCGGUGAAAUGCUUAGAUAUGACACAGAACACCGAUCGCGAAGGCAGCUCACUAAAUUGUAACUGACGCUCAUGCACGAAAGCGUGGGGAUCAAACAGG